This 301-nucleotide ribosomal RNA is filed under the name uncultured bacterium. Its description in RNAcentral is "partial 16S ribosomal RNA". It matches the Rfam family "Bacterial small subunit ribosomal RNA", at positions 509 to 807 of the family's 1533-position model. The record is from RNAcentral.
CAGCAGCCGCGGAAAUACGGAGGGUGCAAGCGUUAAUCGGAAUUACUGGGCGUAAAGCGCACGCAGGCGGUCUGUCAAGUUAGACGUGAAAUCCCCGGGCUUAACCUGGGAACUGCAUUUGAAACUGGCAGGCUAGAGUCUUGUAGAGGGGGGUAGAAUUCCAGGUGUAGCGGUGAAAUGCGUAGAGAUGUGGAGGAACACCAGUGGCGAAGGCGACUCUCUGGUCUGUAACUGGCGCUGAGGAGCGAAAGCGUGGGGAGCGAACAGGAUUAGAUACCCGGGUAGUCCCUGUCUCUUAUAC